RNAcentral lists this ribosomal RNA (301 nucleotides) under uncultured bacterium. RNAcentral's name for it is "partial 16S ribosomal RNA". It matches the Rfam family "Bacterial small subunit ribosomal RNA", at positions 509 to 809 of the family's 1533-position model. The record is from RNAcentral.
CAGUCGCCACGGGAAUACGAAGGGGGCUAGCGUUGUUCGGAUUUACUGGGCGUAAAGGGCGCGUAGGCGGGCGAAUAAGUCAGGGGUGAAAUCCCAAGGCUCAACCUUGGAACUGCCUUUGAUACUGUUUGUCUUGAGUUCGAGAGAGGUAAGUGGAACUGCGAGUGUAGAGGUGAAAUUCGUAGAUAUUCGCAAGAACACCAGUGGCGAAGGCGGCUUACUGGCUCGAAACUGACGCUGAGGCGCGAAAGCGUGGGGAGCAAACAGGAUUAGAUACCCCGGUAGUCCCUGUCUCUUAUAA